GGCCCGGUACGGCGGACCGGGCGGCAGCGUCCGCGACGUGCUGGGUGCGGUGAUCCAGAUCGCGCGCGGCAGUUCCAAUGUGGCCCAGGCUC
RNAcentral lists this transfer RNA (92 nucleotides) under Mycolicibacterium phlei. RNAcentral's name for it is "tRNA-Arg". The record is from RNAcentral. Lineage: Bacteria; Bacillati; Actinomycetota; Actinomycetes; Mycobacteriales; Mycobacteriaceae. RNAcentral also lists the same sequence under 1 other name.